Molecule: ribosomal RNA, 211 nt
Filed under: uncultured bacterium
Lineage: Bacteria
Description: partial 16S ribosomal RNA
Rfam family: Bacterial small subunit ribosomal RNA
Source: RNAcentral
CUCGUAGGCGGUUCGUCGUCGUCCGGUGUGAAAGUCCACUCGCUUAACGGUGGAUCUGCGCCGGGUACGGGCGGGCUGGAGUGCGGUAGGGGAGACGUGGAAUUCCCGGUGUAACGGUGGAGUGUGUAGAUAUCGGGAAGAACACCAAUGGCGAAGGCAGGUCUCUGGGCCCGUUACUGACGCUGAGGAGCGAAAGCGUGGGGAGCGAACA